This 429-nucleotide ribosomal RNA is filed under the name Actinomycetes bacterium. RNAcentral describes it as "Actinobacteria bacterium partial 16S ribosomal RNA". It matches the Rfam family "Bacterial small subunit ribosomal RNA", at positions 355 to 776 of the family's 1533-position model. The record is from RNAcentral. Lineage: Bacteria; Bacillati; Actinomycetota; Actinomycetes.
UAGGGAAUCUUCCGCAAUGGGCGAAAGCUUGACGGAGCAACGCCGCGUGAGUGAUGAAGGUCUUCGGAUCGUAAAACUCUGUUAUUAGGGAAGAACAAAUGUGUAAGUAACUAUGCACGUCUUGACGGUACCUAAUCAGAAAGCCACGGCUAACUACGUGCCAGCAGCCGCGGUAAUACGUAGGUGGCAAGCGUUAUCCGGAAUUAUUGGGCGUAAAGCGCGCGUAGGCGGUUUUUUAAGUCUGAUGUGAAAGCCCACGGCUCAACCGUGGAGGGUCAUUGGAAACGGGAAAACUUGAGUGCAGAAGAGGAAAGUGGAAUUCCAUGUGUAGCGGUGAAAUGCGCAGAGAUAUGGAGGAACACCAGUGGCGAAGGCGACUUUCUGGUCUGUAACUGACGCUUAUGUGCGAAAGCGUGGGGAUCAAACAGG